UGGGGAAUAUUGGACAAUGGGCGAAAGCCUGAUCCAGCAAUGCCGCGUGAGUGAUGAAGGCCUUAGGGUUGUAAAGCUCUUUUACCCGGGAUGAUAAUGACAGUACCGGGAGAAUAAGCCCCGGCUAACUCCGUGCCAGCAGCCGCGGUAAUACGGAGGGGGCUAGCGUUGUUCGGAAUUACUGGGCGUAAAGCGCACGUAGGCGGCUUUGUAAGUUAGAGGUGAAAGCCCGGAGCUCAACUCCGGAACUGCCUUUAAGACUGCAUCGCUUGAACGUCGGAGAGGUAAGUGGAAUUCCGAGUGUAGAGGUGAAAUUCGUAGAUAUUCGGAAGAACACCAGUGGCGAAGGCGACUUACUGGACGACUGUUGACGCUGAGGUGCGAAAGCGUGGGGAGCAAACA
This 402-nucleotide ribosomal RNA is filed under the name uncultured soil bacterium. RNAcentral describes it as "bacterial SSU rRNA". It matches the Rfam family "Bacterial small subunit ribosomal RNA", at positions 355 to 774 of the family's 1533-position model. The record is from RNAcentral.